RNAcentral lists this transfer RNA (68 nucleotides) under Marmota monax (woodchuck). RNAcentral describes it as "tRNA.Ala". The record is from RNAcentral. Lineage: Eukaryota; Metazoa; Chordata; Mammalia; Rodentia; Sciuridae.
GGAUUGAGGCUCAGUCGUAGAGCAUUUGCCUAGCAUGUGUGAGGUCCUGGGUUCGAUCCCCAGCACCA